UUUUUUUAGAGAUUUCUUUUUGGACUUUGAAAUCAGUCGUUGACUCCUGUUUUUUGAAGUGAUGGUGGCAAUAUUGCCAAGCAAUAGACGUCUAAUAGAAGGUGAUGCUGGUGAAAUGGAAAGGAAUAAAGAAGAAAUAGAAGAAAGUAAGAAAUUAUACUCCUUGCACACCUCUUCUGAUUUAUCAAAUUUGUCUUAAAAUAAAGCCUCUCAAAUAACUUUAGGUAGAAUAUCUUAUGCAAGAAAAAAACCGUGAUAUUUUAGAUUUGAUAUUUUGAGUAAUCUUAGAAAUAUUAGGUGAUAAAUCUUAGUUAUUGGAUUUUAUAAAAGUGCCAAGUUUGGAUCUUAUUAUUAAAGACUAUUAGAAGAAAAAAAUAAAUCAAGAAAAAUUUGGUUAAUUUGAA
This 404-nucleotide long non-coding RNA is filed under the name Physcomitrium patens. Its description in RNAcentral is "long non-coding RNA (PPAT_LNC006001)". The record is from RNAcentral. Lineage: Eukaryota; Viridiplantae; Streptophyta; Bryopsida; Funariales; Funariaceae.